Molecule: ribosomal RNA, 514 nt
Filed under: uncultured bacterium
Lineage: Bacteria
Description: bacterial SSU rRNA
Rfam family: Bacterial small subunit ribosomal RNA
Source: RNAcentral
CGCUGGCGGCGUGCCUAAUACAUGCAAGUCGAACGCACUCUCGUUUAGAUUGAAGGAGCUUGCUCCUGAUUGAUAAACAUUUGAGUGAGUGGCGGACGGGUGAGUAACACGUGGGUAACCUGCCCUAAAGUGGGGGAUAACAUUUAGAAACAGAUGCUAAUACCGCAUAAAACCUAACACCGCAUGGUGUAGGGUUGAAAGAUGGUUUCGGCUAUCACUUUAGGAUGGACCCGCGGUGCAUUAGUUAGUUGGUGAGGUAAAGGCUCACCAAGACCGUGAUGCAUAGCCGACCUGAGAGGGUAAUCGGCCACACUGGGACUGAGACACGGCCCAGACUCCUACGGGAGGCAGCAGUAGGGAAUCUUCCACAAUGGACGAAAGUCUGAUGGAGCAACGCCGCGUGAGUGAAGAAGGUUUUCGGAUCGUAAAACUCUGUUGUUGGAGAAGAAUGUAUCUGAUAGUAACUGAUCAGGUAGUGACGGUAUCCAACCAGAAAGCCACGGCUAACUACGUG